GCAGCGGGAAGAUAGCUUGCUAUCUUUGCCGGCGAGCGGCGGACGGGUGAGUAAUGCCUAGGGAUCUGCCCAGUCGAGGGGGAUAACAGUUGGAAACGACUGCUAAUACCGCAUACGCCCUACGGGGGAAAGGAGGGGACCUUCGGGCCUUCCGCGAUUGGAUGAACCUAGGUGGGAUUAGCUAGUUGGUGAGGUAAUGGCUCACCAAGGCGACGAUCCCUAGCUGUUCUGAGAGGAUGAUCAGCCACACUGGGACUGAGACACGGCCCAGACUCCUACGGGAGGCAGCAGUGGGGAAUAUUGCACAAUGGGGGAAACCCUGAUGCAGCCAUGCCGCGUGUGUGAAGAAGGCCUUCGGGUUGUAAAGCACUUUCAGUAGGGAGGAAAGGUAAUAACUUAAUACGUUAUUACUGUGACGUUACCUACAGAAGAAGGACCGGCUAACUCCGUGCCAGCAGCCGCGGUAAUACGGAGGGUCCGAGCGUUAAUCGGAAUUACUGGGCGUAAAGCGUGCGCAGGCGGUUUGUUAAGCGAGAUGUGAAAGCCCCGGGCUCAACCUGGGAAUUGCAUUUCGAACUGGCGAACUAGAGUCUUGUAGAGGGGGGUAGAAUUCCAGGUGUAGCGGUGAAAUGCGUAGAGAUCUGGAGGAAUACCGGUGGCGAAGGCGGCCCCCUGGACAAAGACUGACGCUCAGGCACG
This 699-nucleotide ribosomal RNA is filed under the name Shewanella baltica. RNAcentral describes it as "bacterial SSU rRNA". It matches the Rfam family "Bacterial small subunit ribosomal RNA", at positions 66 to 755 of the family's 1533-position model. The record is from RNAcentral. Lineage: Bacteria; Pseudomonadati; Pseudomonadota; Gammaproteobacteria; Alteromonadales; Shewanellaceae.